Dicentrarchus labrax (European seabass) is the source of this 353-nucleotide long non-coding RNA. RefSeq lists it as uncharacterized. The record is from RefSeq and is a predicted model, not a curated record. The transcript is spliced from 3 exons. NCBI's taxonomy places the organism in Eukaryota, Metazoa, Chordata, Actinopteri, Moronidae.
UUUGGUAAACGCAGAAGAAGAGAUUGUUGCAGGAAGUGUGCAAAUCGGAGAGUAGUGUGUGAAGACAUGGACAUUUUUGAGGGGGAAAUAAACUUUUUUUCGUCGCAAAGGCAUUAUCUCCGUGAUCGAUUAUUCUGGGCUUUUGGUGAAGCGAGCGGUGGAAAAACAGGAGAAGAGAGAGGAAUAAUAGACGGAUGGUGACCUCAUGUCUCUGGAGCAGGAGAUGGCUUGAUCCUAAGAUAGAAGGUUGAAAAACAACACUACACACAGGAGAAACCGAGAACUACUGCAUACGGUGAAAUGGUGAGGAGCCCAGUUCAGAUGGAUAACAAUGUACCCACAUAGGACUUGGU